GCGGGGGUGGAGGAGUCCCUCAGCCCAGAUUGCAAGAGAGCGCAGGCCAGGCUGAGGGACCCUACCAGUGCACG
Molecule: microRNA precursor, 74 nt
Filed under: Myotis davidii
Lineage: Eukaryota; Metazoa; Chordata; Mammalia; Chiroptera; Vespertilionidae
Description: mir-9193 microRNA precursor family
Rfam family: mir-9193 microRNA precursor family
Source: Rfam by way of RNAcentral